This is a long non-coding RNA of Ipomoea nil (Japanese morning glory), 1811 nucleotides long. RefSeq lists it as uncharacterized. The transcript has 7 exons. The record is from RefSeq and is a predicted model, not a curated record. Lineage: Eukaryota; Viridiplantae; Streptophyta; Magnoliopsida; Solanales; Convolvulaceae.
CCUGAUUUCAUUUCAUUUCCGCCCCUCAGCUGUUCUUACUCCUCUCCUAAAAAAGCUCUCGCAACUGUCUCUGAGUCUCUCGCCUAGACUACCAUCGCUGCUCAGCUCUGUUCAUUGCUCAGUCUUCUCCCUUUGCCCCUCAGCUGUUCUCAGUCCAACGCUUCGAAUCCUCCAUUCGACGAUGGUUUCCUGAAUCCGUCUGCUGACGAGCCGAUCUUUGUUUCGUCGCCAAUCUACGCUUCUGAAGGCUCCUCCGAUCCGAAAGAUGAGAAGCCGUUCGUAGAUGCUUUUGCGACGUCUAAUGCACCAGUUCUGCCGCCGCCAUCGAAAAUGCAAGAGGAGGGAUUUGCUCUCAGGGAAUGGAGAAGGGAAAUGCUAGAAAGAUGUUUGAAAAACGUUGUGAUGGGAACAGCCGGCUUGGGAAAAUUUCAAAACUAGGCUUUGCUCCUAUACUAUGGUGUAUAAUUUUUCUACUACUUGUAACAUAUAUCCAUUCAGUCAUCAUGGCUCCUACUCUACCAAAAUUAACUGCUAGCGGUGCUUUAUUUGCAUGGUUGGGUGUUUUCGUUGCAACUUCUGGACUAGUUAUGUUUUAUAGGUGUAGCAGGUAUAACUCAUGAUCUUUUGUUGGCUAUACAUACAUUGAAGAGCAAUGCUUACAUUGUGGCAAUGGGAUGAAAUGACUAACUUAACCAUUUUACAUUUUUCAUUUUAUAAACUAGUUGUUAAGCAUUCAUCUGCUGUCAUUCUUUCUGUGUUCUUACUUCCAAUGUAAAAAAUUUGUUGUUGCUCACUCUCUAAAACAAUUCUUCGAUUAAUUUUCUUAUGUUUCAACUUAGAAAAAGAACAUUGCUUCCUUUUUUUUUUUAAGACAAAAAGUGGGUGUAUUUAUUUUAAAAUUUCUAUAAAGUCUCACCAAAAGAGGGACUGUAGGAAUAAAAGUGGAUGUAUUAUUUAUGCUAUGUGAACAAAUUAUGAACUUAUUAUUCAUACAUUUUUGCCCUAAUGAAAGAAUUCUCCUUUUAUUCUGUUUAACACCUUUCCCUUCCCUAGAUUUUCUGUCAUUUUACAGUGCCAGGUCUUGUGAAAUACAACUAAUUACACAUUUGGUGUGCAUAUUUGCUUCUCCGCACUCAAAGAGUAGUUGUAGAGCAUGUAGCAAACUCAGACCAAGCAGAUUCAGCAUUAAAGCAAAUUGAAAACGGAUACCAAGUUCAUGAAGAUGUGAAGACAGAGGAAGUGCAACAAGUGACAAAAGUGGCGCAACAAAUAACAAAGGAUUCCUAUCCUCCCUUCUCUUUAACAAAACAAAGAUCACUGACAGAUAAGCAGGAGGCAAGUAGUAAAAACAUAUGAGAAGAAAGAAGAAAGUAGCACAAAAGAUAUCUAAGGUAAGCUGAAUUGGAGGAAGGGAAGCAAGACAGAAAAUGAGGGAUCAAGAUUCGGUCACUUCUCACUUCCAUGGAGAACUGUUGUUACUCUACAACUUGAGAGUGGGAGGCCUUCCUCCUUUGUACAUAAUGUCUUGAAGAGGUUCUUAUUUGAAGAGACAGAUGAAUCAAUCAAAGGCUUGACUAAGCUGCCUAAUAGUGAAAAUGCCAAAUCUGCAGAAGGACAAUGGAAACACUGAUGAUGGAACAAGCUGCUUCCAUACUGCAAAUGUGUCCUGGGAACUUCUGUCUUUCCUGUUUAUACAUUUAGACUUAAGAGACUAAUAGAAAUGCCAUAUUUUGACUUGUUUUAAAUUUUCAAUUGUAUAUUGAUGAAUGAAUUAUCUUCAAGCAUAUGAAAUGUGUAUUUUAUGUUUUUCA